CCCUCUGGACUGAGAUACCCUCGGGAAACUGAGGUCAAUCUCGGAUACUGCUUCCGUGUUGGAACACAGGAAGCUGGAAACGGUCCGCCGCCGGAGGACGUGACUGCGGCUGAUUAGGUAGACGGUGGGGUAACGGCCCACCGUGCCGAUAAUCAGUACGGGUUGUGAGAGCAAGAGCCCGGAGACGGAAUCUGAGACAAGAUUCCGGGCCCUACGGGGCGCAGCAGCCGCGAAACCUUUACACUGCACGCCAGUGCGAUAAGGGGAUCCCGAGUGCGAGGGCAUACAGUCCUCGCUUUUCGCGACCGUAAGGUGGUCGCAGAAUAAGGGCUGGGCAAGACCGGUGCCAGCCGCCGCGGUAAUACCGGCAGCCCGAGUGAUAGCCAAUUUUAUUGGGCCUAAAGCGUCCGUAGCUGGCCGAACAGGUCCGUCGGGAAAUCCACCCGCUUAACGGGUGGGCGUCCGGCGGAAACCAGUCGGCUUGGGGCCGAGAGACCAAAGGGGUACGUCCGGGGUAGGAGUGAAAUCCCGUAAUCCUGGACGGACCACCGGUUGCGAAAGCGCCUUUGGAGAACGGACCCGACAGUGAGGGACGAAAGCUAGGGUCUCGAACCGGAUUAGAUACCCGGGUAGUCCUAGCCGUAAACGAUGCUCGCUAGGUGUGACGCAGGCUACGAGCCUGCGUUGCGCCGUAGGGAAGCCGAGAAGCGAGCCGCCUGGGAAGUACGUCCGCAAGGAUGAAACUUAAAGGAAUUGGCGGGGGAGCACUACAACCGGAGGAGCCUGCGGUUUAAUUGGACUCAACGCCGGACAUCUCACCGGCACCGACAACGUGCAGUGACGGUCAGUUUGAUGAGCUUACCUGAGCCGUUGAGAGGAGGUGCAUGGCCGCCGUCAGCUCGUACCGUGAGGCGUCCUGUUAAGUCAGGCAACGAGCGAGACCCGCGUCCAUAAUUGCCAGCAGCACCCUUGUGGUGGCUGGGUACAUUAUGGAGACUGCCGUCGCUAAGACGGAGGAAGGAACGGGCAACGGUAGGUCAGUAUGCCCCG
Molecule: ribosomal RNA, 1050 nt
Filed under: Halococcus sp. IARI-DWAB3
Lineage: Archaea; Methanobacteriati; Methanobacteriota; Halobacteria; Halobacteriales; Halococcaceae
Also listed under: 2 other names
Description: bacterial SSU rRNA
Rfam family: Archaeal small subunit ribosomal RNA
Source: RNAcentral